UUUUUUUUGCCCUCGCGAGGCCUUCUGGGUAACGUAGUUUCCCCGUACUACUCUCGGAGAUUUCUGGAUAAUGUAGUUUUAUAAGCCUGCCUGGUUACUUCUGCGCGUCAAGGGCUGGUUAUAAAGUUCGGUGAUGAAGCCUAGAAUCAUAAAUGCUUUUUUUUUCCUCCUUUUUUAAACGAGGACCAUCACUAUCUCUUUUAUAUGUGGAAGAGAAAGCGGACAAUCGGAUUAAAGGCGGACCCCCAAGAGGGAAGCAACAUUUCGUUUCCUUUGUUUUGCAGCUUUUCAGGUUUAGACAACAGCUGGCAGGAGAAGCCAGGCUGAAAGCCCUUUAAGUGUCAGCAGCAUCUUCGAGCCGGGCAAGAACCCCAAAGGGUCGACAAAGCUGACAAAAGAGGUGGCUACCGCAGUUCUCUUUUUCAUUCAGGGUCCUAUAAGGAGUUGGGAAACGUAUACAAGUAGUCCUCAAUUUACAACAGUUCAUUUCAUGACUGUUCAAAGUUACAAAGGCACUGGAAAAAUGUGAUUUAGGGCUGUUUUUCACACACACUUACAACGUUGCAGCCUCCCCAUUGUUCACUACGUAAUUUUGUUACAUUUCGUAUUCUACAACAUUAUUUAAAAUUAAUUUUCAAGCUAAUUUAUUUCCUUCAACUUAACUCAAAUGUUUAAGCAGAACUGGGCUUUUAUCUUUUUAUAUUGUAGAUAUGACUCAGGCCAUUCACCACAGGAUUAUAGAUUAUUUCCCCCAAAAUAACUUGAACAGAAAAAUAAACUGCUUGGAAACUAUGAAUCAUUCAUCAAUUCUUGACGUUUGAUUGGGGACUUUAACAUAGGAUUCAUGGAUUCUACCAAUCAGCUGAUAUUAUGCAUAUGAUAUUAUUCUGGCUUCUAUUGAACAUUUACGUCUUCCAUAGAAUAAAACACAGCAGGAUGGUUAAAAAAGUCAAGAUGCAGCUCUGACGGUACCAUUGAGGUUCUGCCUGUUUUUAUGUGCUUUGUUCAACAAUGCAACCAUUAGUGGCAUCCAUUAGUUAUAAUGACAUUUUACCAACUGGUUUAUCGCCCAAAACUGACAUCUGUUGACCUGUGUUCUGCUCAGCAUCAUCAGUGCAGUUUUCAGUAGCUUCAACAAGGAGGAACAGAUCUCACCAUCUCAUCACAGCCAAGACCUUGAAAUUUUUGGCUGUAAUCUAGAUUACAGCCAAAUGAAAAUUGUAGUAAACUGCAGUAAUGGAAGUUUCCUGGAAUUUUAAUGUGCUUGGGAACAUUAUCUUGGUACAUAAUAACACAAUAUAAUAUCUUGUUAAUAGUAUCAUAAUGAAGAGAUACUGUUACACAAUAAUAUAUAAAAAAAAUUAUGGGCUGUAAGAGGAGGUUUUUUUUCACUAAUGGGAUAGAUACUCUGUUUCCCCCAAAAUAAGACACCUCAUGAUAAUAAGCUCAAUCGGGCUUUUGAGCGCAUGGCAAUAAGGUCAAACGCUUAUUUCAGAGUUCAAAAAAAUAUAAGACAGGGUCUUAUUUUUGGAGAAACACAGAAAGUAUAAGUUUAUCUUUUAACUUUUGAAUAUUGUUAUUACUGAAUAAUAAAUAUAUUUUUUUUUAAUUUGAUUUAUAUGCCGCCCUUCUCCGGAGACUCAGGGCGGCUUACAAUGUGCUAAGCAAUAUCCUUCAUCCUUUUGUAAAUUUUUACAAAGUCAGCUUAUUGUCCCCACAAACUGGGUCCUUGUUUGGCAAUUGGAAAGAAAAUAAUUAAUAGCUGAUGUAAAAUAUACUUACCUUAUAUACAGAAAAUGGAUCAUUUUUUUGUUCAGGGUGAACUACAAUCUGAUUUGACAAUGAACAAAUGGUUAUUAUUGAUCAUUGAACAUUAUAUUAUUUGUUCUGUAGUUAGGUAAAUGAAAUUUGCUAAUCCUUUUCUACUGUUUUUAUAUGUAAGGAACUUAUUUUGAUGCAAGUGAGCAAUGUUAAUAAUGAGUAUGUUCAUGAAUUAUUGCUUUCCAAGAUGAGUUUUGCUGAUGGCUUCUCAUGAGUAAAGCUGCAAAUAAAUCAAAUUUUAACAGGGCU
Molecule: non-coding RNA, 2070 nt
Organism: Pantherophis guttatus
Lineage: Eukaryota; Metazoa; Chordata; Lepidosauria; Squamata; Colubridae
Source: RefSeq, a predicted model, not a curated record